Molecule: ribosomal RNA, 384 nt
Filed under: Triticum aestivum (bread wheat)
Lineage: Eukaryota; Viridiplantae; Streptophyta; Magnoliopsida; Poales; Poaceae
Description: partial small subunit ribosomal RNA
Source: RNAcentral
GUUGCGCCCUUGUGUGAAAAAUUCCCUAUCCUGUUCAGCAUAUGUCAGGAUCAGGAUGGGACUAUUGCUGAUUUUGUGGCAAAAAACUACAAGCUGGGCUUCAGGCGCAGGUUGUUUGGGGAGGUUAAUGAUCAGUGGGAGUGGGUGGUAUCUGAGGCAAAAAAAUAUGCUUUAAACACUACCCCUGAGACUGUGUUUUGGAAUCUCUGCAAGAACAAAAGAUUUACCACUAAAUCUGUGUAUGAAUGGUUGGAGAGGGAUUUAGCUGGUCCUAACUAUAAGUGGAUCUGGAAAGCUAGUAUCCCAUUGAAAAUCAAAAUAUUUCUGUGGCAGCUAUUUCAAAAUGCUCUGCUUACUCGGGAUAAUUUGCGGAAGAGGAAUUGG